RNAcentral lists this ribosomal RNA (874 nucleotides) under Proteus mirabilis. Its description in RNAcentral is "bacterial SSU rRNA". It matches the Rfam family "Bacterial small subunit ribosomal RNA", at positions 584 to 1445 of the family's 1533-position model. The record is from RNAcentral. Lineage: Bacteria; Pseudomonadati; Pseudomonadota; Gammaproteobacteria; Enterobacterales; Morganellaceae.
CAAGUCUAGAUGUGAAAGUCCCCGAGCUCAACUUGGGAAUUGCAUCUGAAGACUGGUCGAGCUAGAAGUUCUUGUAAGAGGGGGGUAGAAAUUUCCAUGUGGUAGCCGUUGAAAUGCCGUAGAGAUGUUGAAGAAUUACCGUUGCGGAGGCCGCCCCCUUGACCAAAAACUACCCUUCAGUUGGAAAACCUUGGGAACCAACCAGAAUUAAUUCCCUUGUAAUUCCCCGCGUUAAACGAGGUCGAUUAGAAGUUGGUGUCUUGGACCAGUGGCUUUGGAAGUUAACGCGUUAAUUGGCCCGCCUGGGGAGUACGCCCCCAAGGUUAAAAUUCAAAUGAAUUGACGGGGGCCCGCACAACCGGUGGACCAUGUGGUUUAUUUGGAUGCAACGGGAAGACCUUUCCUUAUUCUUGCCUUCCAGGGAUCCUUGCAGAGAUGAGGAGUGCCUUCGGGGAAGUUGAAACCAGGUGUGCCAGGGCGUUGUUCAGUUCGGUUUGUAAAAUGUUGGGUUAAUUCCCCCAAGAGGGCCACCCUUUUCCUUUGUUUCCCACAGGUUAUGUUGGGAACUCAAAGGAGACUGCCGGUGAUAAACCGGAGGAAGGUGGGGAUGACGUCAAGUCAUCAUGGCCCUUACGAGUAGGGCUACACACGUGCUACAAUGGCGGAUACAAAGAGAAGCGACCUCGCGAGAGCAAGCGGAACUCAUAAAGUGUGUCGUAGUCCGGAUUGGAGUCUGCAACUCGACUCCAUGAAGUCGGAAUCGCUAGUAAUCGUAGAUCAGAAUGCUACGGUGAAUACGUUCCCGGGCCUUGUACACACCGCCCGUCACACCAUGGGAGUGGGUUGCAAAAGAAGUAGGUAGCUUAACCUUCGG